Daphnia pulicaria is the source of this 1377-nucleotide long non-coding RNA. RefSeq lists it as uncharacterized. NCBI's taxonomy places the organism in Eukaryota, Metazoa, Arthropoda, Branchiopoda, Diplostraca, Daphniidae. The record is from RefSeq and is a predicted model, not a curated record. The transcript is spliced from 7 exons.
AGUUGUUCCUGAGUUGUUCCAGUUGCGGUUGCUCCUCCAAAUUUUGUUCAGCGGCCACUUGCUUUACAUGGAUUAUACUAGGUGGACGCUAAAUCGUACGUCACGGAUUAGUUUCAUAUGCUCGUGACUGAUGACUGUUCUAUACCCUCAUAUGAACAACUCGCAUUUCGCCAGCGACGAUUUUAACCACAAGAGGGCCCUGUCACCCAAUUGUCGCCGUAUCCAAUGGAAGCAACACGACAGUCGAUUACAUUGCACCGCAAAACGCCGAAAGACCCAAUCGCCAAUCGCUUGGCAAUUUUCAAUUUUGUUAAAACGAAAUUUUUCUAAAAGAACAAAGAAGGAAUGGGCGCAAAAAAAUCCAUGAUGGCCGACCAUUUGCUUACCAGUCCUCCUUUUCUUAACAAAUGUUUGUCAGUCGCCAUGGAGAUGGAGUGUGGUCGAGUUCUGCUGAUUGAAUUGUGUCGGACUUUAUGUUCCUGUCAUCUUCCAUUAUUAGAAGCCAGUUGAAGAGCAAAGCAGGGAAGAGUACAUGCUCGUACGUCUUCUCAACUGUCCAACCGUGUCAUAAAAUAUUUGCAAACUUCUCUCUGCGAUCAAUGAAACGGAAAGUUUCACCAGUUCAGUUCACCAGAUCUUGGUGACUGGGACGGAUGAAAUCCCUAACCAAUUUCCCCCCCUUCUGACAACAGAUGUCAACACGUUGGAGCACAACAGGUAGGAAAAAAGUUAAAAUAUUUCAAGUAUUGUGAUGGAAUGAGACAUGUGAUAGUUUGAAGUCGUCUGGUUACUGAGAUAGGAUUCAACUUAUUAAUGUGUAAAUAUGGGGGUUGGGUGUGUGGUCUACAGAGUGAAAUCUCAAGCCUCUUUGAUUAUUAUAUAAAGUUAGAUUUCUGAUCACUAUUCAAUGUCCAGGUUUAAAAAAUACUCUGUUUUAAUCUUGUAUUUUGAUACCUGCCUGUUUGAAUCUUCGGCGAUAGUUGGGAGUCGAAUGGCAGGCGUAUUGACUAUUUUUGUGGCGAUCUAUCCCCUUCGUUUUUUUGUGGGAACGAUUCCGUGUAGAACGAGGAAAUCCUUCGAGCAAUACUUGGCCGAGAAACGAUCACUUCGUCAGCACACGAUUUAAAUUUGCAAGCAUAGUAUACUUUCAUGUAUUAGGCUAAUAUUUUAUUCCAAUUUUUCGACAGUUUUUGUGAUUAAAAUGAAGCAUAAGCGAUAAGGGAAAUUCGGAGGGUGUGGGAGGGUGGAUUUCAAAGGUUUACUUGGAUUUAACUUUAGUAACGAGUCAAAAGUAUAAGGAAGAACCGAAUAUUCCAAAUAUUUCAAUCUCGUUGCUGUAAAUAGAUUUGCCACUACUUUGUUCGUCGUUCAAUAACG